RNAcentral lists this unclassified non-coding RNA (378 nucleotides) under uncultured bacterium. RNAcentral describes it as "contains 16S-23S intergenic spacer region". The record is from RNAcentral.
UCCGGUUUGGCACCGGCAGUCCUCCCAGAGUCCCCGCCUUGACGCGCUGGCAACUGGGAGCGGGGGUUGCGCUCGUUGCGGGACUUAACCCAACAUCUCACGACACAGCUGACGACAGCCAUGCAGCACCUGUCGAGCGGUCCCGAAGGGAAGACCUCAUCUCUGAGGCUGCCCCCUGUUGUCUAGCCCAGGUAAGGUUCUUCGCGUUGCGUCGAAUUGAACCACAUGCUCCACCGCUUGUGCGGGCCCCCGUCAAUCCCUUUGAGUUUUAGCCUUGCGGCCGUACUCCCCAGGCGGGGCACUUAAUGCGUUAGCUACGGCACGGAAUCCGUUGAUAAGACCCCACACCUAGUGCCCAACGUUUACGGCGUGGACUAC